This 468-nucleotide ribosomal RNA is filed under the name uncultured bacterium. RNAcentral describes it as "bacterial SSU rRNA". It matches the Rfam family "Bacterial small subunit ribosomal RNA", at positions 329 to 794 of the family's 1533-position model. The record is from RNAcentral.
CCCCAGACUCCUACGGGAGGCAGCAGUGAGGAAUAUUGGUCAAUGGCCGAGAGGCUGAACCAGCCAAGUCGCGUGAGGGAAGAAUGUCCUAUGGAUUGUAAACCUCUUUUGUCAGGGAGCAAAGUCACCCACGUGUGGGUGUUGGAGAGUACCUGAAGAAAAAGCAUCGGCUAACUCCGUGCCAGCAGCCGCGGUAAUACGUAGGGUGCAAGCGUUAUCCGGAUUUAUUGGGCGUAAAGGGCUCGUAGGCGGUUCGUCGCGUCCGGUGUGAAAGUCCAUCGCUUAACGGUGGAUCCGCGCCGGGUACGGGCGGGCUUGAGUGCGGUAGGGGAGACUGGAAUUCCCGGUGUAACGGUGGAAUGUGUAGAUAUCGGGAAGAACACCAAUGGCGAAGGCAGGUCUCUGGGCCGUUACUGACGCUGAGGAGCGAAAGCGUGGGGAGCGAACAGGAUUAGAUACCCCUGUAUU